Long non-coding RNA from Neltuma alba, 1329 nucleotides. RefSeq lists it as uncharacterized. Lineage: Eukaryota; Viridiplantae; Streptophyta; Magnoliopsida; Fabales; Fabaceae. The transcript has 2 exons. The record is from RefSeq and is a predicted model, not a curated record.
UUAUAUAUCCAUACAUAUAUGUAAAAGUAGGGUUGGGUUGAGUAGAUGCUACAGCAAAGGCACGCGAACGCGAAAGAAAAUUAAAUAGGGAGAGAGGGACAGAUGUUAAUGUUGACACAUGACACAGGACAAAAAAAUAUGACACGCAAAAUCCCAAAACUGCCUGGCUCCUCCCCAUUGAUUGUAUGUAGCUACCAGAGAUGGUCCAAGUCUACCCUAAUUUAACCAAAAAAAAAAAAAAAGCAAAAAAGAGGGUCCAGAAUAAAAGGAGGAAGGGUGGGUGGGGGACUGCCUGCGUCUGCUUCUAUAUAUGCCUUUUGUUGGCUAUAUAUGUUUUGUGCUCCCACCGCUCUUCCGUUUUCGCAGUGAGAAGGAGGAAGAGCCUGGAAAAUACGGAGACGGAGGAAGGGGUAAGUAUAAGGUGCGAUAAUCUCAUGGUGCACCCUCUAGCAGUUGAAGCUGCCAGCAUGAUCUGAGCUCACCUUCUUAUGUGGCGGGAACAGAUCAUGCGGCAGUUUCACCUGUUGAAUGGGAGCAGCGAUCCCUGCCCUAGCUGAUUCGCUUUCUCCGAUCUGCUCACCACCUCCCUCAAACCCUAGAAAAAGGUCUGGUAUCUUCUUUUUCCACAUUGAUGCUUUUCUAAACAGUUCCUAUUAUUUCACGCACGCUUCGUUCCCUUACUUAUCCAUUGAAAAGUAAAGAAAUCUAAAUUCUGAGGUACAAAUUAAUCCUCAAGUGAGGGGAACGCGGUUUGGUCAAGCCUCGGGGGUGGUGCUUCUCAACUGUAUUGGUGUACAUGUUCGUCAUAUACUGUUUGUUUGCACUCCGGUGUAACACGCACAAACACAUGCCUUUCUUUUUUACUCUCUUGCAACUAUUCUGAUUCGUAUAUCUACAUUCAGUUUUGCAUUUCUUCUGUUCUUUUUGUGACUGAUGAAUCACAGCCCACUUCCAAUUUCCAGAUCUGGGCAAUACUAUUAUAUGUGCCCAUCUAAUAAAUGGAAUCGUUAAAGCUCAUCAACACGCAGGCCUUCGUCUCCGGCAUGCUUUGGAUGCAUGAAAUUUUGGACAAGACGCCGGAUCAGGAGAAAAAAGGGAAGAAAGAAAAGAAGGGAGGAAAAAAGAAAAAGAAAACCUCUGAUUUUCGAGGUCUAUGUAUUCGGACCAAACCAAACUAAACUGGCCAUAUAUAUAUAUAUGUAUGUGUAUAUGUCGUCUAGGUGGCAUAACAGCAACCAUAUGCAUAAAAGGAAAGCUUCUUUGACGCCGACAAUAUGCUUAAUUAUAGCAAUGAAUGAUCAUUUAGUUGGAAUUUAAUUUAAUUGUUCA